GCGAAAGUGGCGGAAUUGGCAGACGCACCAGACUUAGGAUCUGGCGCCUUUGGCGUGAGGGUUCAACUCCCUCCUUUCGCA
This 81-nucleotide transfer RNA is filed under the name Fibrobacter sp. RNAcentral's name for it is "tRNA-Leu". It matches the Rfam family "tRNA". From Rfam's summary of the family: Transfer RNA (tRNA) molecules are approximately 80 nucleotides in length. Their secondary structure includes four short double-helical elements and three loops (D, anti-codon, and T loops). The record is from RNAcentral. Lineage: Bacteria; Pseudomonadati; Fibrobacterota; Fibrobacteria; Fibrobacterales; Fibrobacteraceae.